GAUGAAGAACGCAGCGAAAUGCGAUACUUGGUGUGAAUUGCAGAAUCCCGUGAACCAUCGAGUCUUUGAACGCAAGUUGCGCCUCAAGCCAUUAGGUUGAGGGCACGUCUGCCUGGGCGUCACAUAUCGUUGCCUGAUGCCAGUUUCCUCGUGAUGGGUGACUGUGCAGGGCAAAUGAUGGCUUCCCGUGAGCAUUGUUGCCUCAUGGUUGGUUGAAAAUUGAGUCCUUGGUAGGGAGCGCCGUGAUAGAUGGUGGUUGAGUGACGAACGAGACCCAAUCAUGUGAGACCCCUACCGAAUUUGGCCUUCAUGACCCACAUGCGUCUUUGGAACGCUCAUGACGAGACCUCAGGUCAGGCGGGGCUACCCGCUGAGUUUAAGCAUAUCAAUAAGCGGAGGA
This 400-nucleotide unclassified non-coding RNA is filed under the name soil metagenome. RNAcentral's name for it is "partial contains 5.8S ribosomal RNA, internal transcribed spacer 2, and large subunit ribosomal RNA". The stretch from base 1 to 122 matches the Rfam family "5.8S ribosomal RNA", at positions 35 to 154 of the family's 154-position model. The record is from RNAcentral.